CUCUCCCCGGCCCGAUCCGCCCGCCGGCUCCCCCUCCCCCGAUCCCUCGGGUCCCGGGAUGGGGGGGCGGUGAGGCAGGCACAGCCCCCCGCCCCCAUGGCCGCCCGUCGGAGCCAGAGGCGGAGGGGGCGCCGGGGGGAGCCGGGCACCGCCCUGCUGGUCCCGCUCGCGCUGGGCCUGGGCCUGGCGCUGGCCUGCCUCGGCCUCCUGCUGGCCGUGGUCAGUUUGGGGAGCCGGGCAUCGCUGUCCGCCCAGGAGCCUGCCCAGGAGGAGCUGGUGGCAGAGGAGGACCAGGACCCGUCGGAACUGAAUCCCCAGACAGAAGAAAGCCAGGAUCCUGCGCCUUUCCUGAACCGACUAGUUCGGCCUCGCAGAAGUGCACCUAAAGGCCGGAAAACACGGGCUCGAAGAGCGAUCGCAGCCCAUUAUGAAGUUCAUCCACGACCUGGACAGGACGGAGCGCAGGCAGAUGGAGGUUACACAACUUGUCUGAGGCCAUGAGAUACUAAGUGGUGGAGCCAAGAUUUGAACCCAGCUAGAAUGUGCCUGUGUACUGGACAUGGUCUGCAUGAAAGGCGAGGUGGCUGGUGCAGGGGUGAGGGGUCCAUGCAGGGGCCACAUCCAAAAAGGGGAGAGGGAAGUUUCCAGAAAGAAGAGAGGACACAUCUCCCACCAUUACCAGAGGGUCAAAGGAGAACAAGAGACCAGGUGUGGACGGGACAGUGAGUGGCUGGGAGGAAGCCAGAAUCAACAGCUCCAGCCCUCUGCGCUACAACCGCCAGAUCGGGGAGUUUAUAGUCACCCGGGCUGGGCUCUACUACCUGUACUGUCAGGUGCACUUUGAUGAGGGGAAGGCUGUCUACCUGAAGCUGGACUUGCUGGUGGAUGGUGUGCUGGCCCUGCGCUGCCUGGAGGAAUUCUCAGCCACUGCGGCGAGUUCCCUCGGGCCCCAGCUCCGCCUCUGCCAGGUGUCUGGGCUGUUGGCCCUGCGGCCAGGGUCCUCCCUGCGGAUCCGCACCCUCCCCUGGGCCCAUCUCAAGGCUGCCCCCUUCCUCACCUACUUCGGACUCUUCCAGGUUCACUGAGGGGCCCUGGUCUCCCCGCAGUCGUCCCAGGCUGCCGGCUCCCCUCGACAGCUCUCUGGGCACCCGGUCCCCUCUGCCCCACCCUCAGCCGCUCUUUGCUCCAGACCUGCCCCUCCCUCUAGAGGCUGCCUGGGCCUGUUCACGUGUUUUCCAUCCCACAUAAAUACAGUAUUCCCACUCUUAUCUUACAACUCCCCCACCGCCCACUCUCCACCUCACUAGCUCCCCAAUCCCUGACCCUUUGAGGCCCCCAGUGAUCUCGACUCCCCCCUGGCCACAGACCCCCAGGGCAUUGUGUUCACUGUACUCUGUGGGCAAGGAUGGGUCCAGAAGACCCCACUUCAGGCACUAAGAGGGGCUGGACCUGGCGGCAGGAAGCCAAAGAGACUGGGCCUAGGCCAGGAGUUCCCAAAUGUGAGGGGCGAGAAACAAGACAAGCUCCUCCCUUGAGAAUUCCCUGUGGAUUUUUAAAACAGAUAUUAUUUUUAUUAUUAUUGUGACAAAAUGUUGAUAAAUGGAUAUUAAAUAGAA
This is an RNA transcript of Homo sapiens (human), 1616 nucleotides long. It is a transcript of the gene named TNF superfamily member 12, with no coding region annotated. The record is from RefSeq and is marked reviewed. Lineage: Eukaryota; Metazoa; Chordata; Mammalia; Primates; Hominidae. The transcript has 8 exons.